CCUACGGGUGGCAGCAGUGAGGAAUAUUGGUCAAUGGACGAGAGUCUGAACCAGCCAAGUAGCGUGAAGGAUGACUGCCCUAUGGGUUGUAAACUUCUUUUAUAAAGGAAUAAAACGAGGCACGUGUGCCUUUUUGCAUGUACUUUAUGAAUAAGGAUCGGCUAACGCCGUGCCAGCAGCCGCGGUAAUACGGAGGAUCCGAGCGUUAUCCGGAUUUAGUGGGUUUAAAGGGAGCGUAGAUGGGUUGUUAAGUCAGUUGUGAAAGCUUGCGGCUCAACCGUAAAAUUGCAAUUGAUACUGGCAGUCUUGAGUACAGUUGAGGUAGGCGGAAUUCGUGGUGUAGCGGUGAAAUGCUUAGAGAUCACGAAGAACCCCGAUUGCGAAGGCAGCUUACUAAACUGUGACUGACAUUGAUGCUCGAAAGUGUGGGUAUCAAACAGGAUUAGAUACCCUAGUAGUC
Molecule: ribosomal RNA, 460 nt
Filed under: uncultured bacterium
Lineage: Bacteria
Description: partial 16S ribosomal RNA
Rfam family: Bacterial small subunit ribosomal RNA
Source: RNAcentral